GAUGGGUCUGCGGCGGAUUAGGUUGAUGGCGGGGUAACGGCCCACCAUGCCUUCGAUCCGUAUCGGCUAUGAGAGUAGGAGCCGGGAGAUGGAUACUGAGACAAAGAUCCAGGUCCCACGGGACGCAGCAGUCGCGAAAUCUUCGCAAUGCGGGAAACCGUGACGAGGGAACCCCAAGUGUCUCGGCACAACCGAGACUUUUCUGAAGUGUAAAAAGCUUCGGGAAUAAGGGCUGGGUAAGACUGGUGCCAGCCUCCGCGGUAACACCAGCAGCUCAAGUGGUGGUCACGUUUAUUGGGCUUAAAGCGUCCGUAGUCGGCCUUGCAAGUCCUCUGUGAAAUCCUGCCGCUUAACGGUAGGGCGUGCAGAGGAUACUACAAGACUAGAGGCCGGGAGGGGGAUGGGGUAUUUCAUGGGUACCGGUGAAAUGGUAUAAUCCAUGGAAGACCACCUGUGGCGAAGGCGCCAUCCUAGAACGGGCCUGACGAUGAGGGACGAAAGCGUGGG
This 507-nucleotide ribosomal RNA is filed under the name uncultured archaeon. RNAcentral's name for it is "bacterial SSU rRNA". It matches the Rfam family "Archaeal small subunit ribosomal RNA", at positions 208 to 716 of the family's 1478-position model. The record is from RNAcentral.